Molecule: unclassified non-coding RNA, 50 nt
Filed under: Leishmania tarentolae
Lineage: Eukaryota; Euglenozoa; Kinetoplastea; Trypanosomatida; Trypanosomatidae
Description: guide RNA
Source: RNAcentral
GUUAAACAUUAACUCGGUAUAAAUAUAGGGAACAUUGUAGAGUCGUAUAU